This 350-nucleotide long non-coding RNA is filed under the name Homo sapiens (human). Its description in RNAcentral is "HSALNT0299088". The record is from RNAcentral. Lineage: Eukaryota; Metazoa; Chordata; Mammalia; Primates; Hominidae.
AGGUAAAUUGUUGAGAUGGAUGAAAGGUGUAUCUAUGGGUACUAUUAUGCAUACUUGUGUAUAUGUUUAAAUUUUUCCACAUUACAUCUCCAGAACCUGAUUACUUCUCACCACUUCUAUGCUAUAACCCUAGUCCAAGUCAUGAAGACUUCUCUGCAUUAGUUACAACAGCCUCUGAACAAGAUGCUCUCUUUCUUUCCUUGCCCCGCUACAAUCCAUUCUCCUUAGUCCUUUCAAAACAGAAGCCAGAUUAUCUCACUCCUUUACUCAAAAUCCUGUAAUGAUUCCCAUCUCAAAGUAAAAUUCUACAAUAUCAGACAGUGGCUAUGGCUGUUCUUCACAGUUCUUAA